UACGUAGGGGGCUAGCGUUAUCCGGAAUUACUGGGCGUAAAGGGUGCGUAGGUGGUUUCUUAAGUCAGAGGUGAAAGGCUACGGCUCAACCGUAGUAAGCCUUUGAAACUGGGAAACUUGAGUGCAGGAGAGGAGAGUGGAAUUCCUAGUGUAGCGGUGAAAUGCGUAGAUAUUGGGAGGAACACCAGUUGCGAAGGCGGCUCUCUGGACUGUAAUUGACACUGAGGCACGAAAGCGUGGGGAGCAAACAGG
RNAcentral lists this ribosomal RNA (252 nucleotides) under uncultured bacterium. RNAcentral's name for it is "partial 16S ribosomal RNA". It matches the Rfam family "Bacterial small subunit ribosomal RNA", at positions 524 to 776 of the family's 1533-position model. The record is from RNAcentral.